Long non-coding RNA from Aethalodelphis obliquidens (Pacific white-sided dolphin), 445 nucleotides. RefSeq lists it as uncharacterized. The record is from RefSeq and is a predicted model, not a curated record. Lineage: Eukaryota; Metazoa; Chordata; Mammalia; Artiodactyla; Delphinidae. The transcript has 3 exons.
CUCAGGCCUGACACCGGCUGGAGCACCAAGACCCUGUCAGCCACAUGGCUAGUUUAACCUGCUAGUGUGCUGGGAAAGAGAUCAGGCCUUUACCUGCAGAACGAAUGAAAUGAAACCCCAGGCUGCACAUUCUCUGUGGAAGACCAAGAUAGUUAACAUCAGAAGGGAAUUUGGGGAGUAUCUUGUUCAGCUACCUCAUUCCACAGAAGACAGAGACACAGGGAAGAUGCAACGUGAUGACAGAUGCAGCCAAGGAAUGCCAAGGAUCAAUGGCAACCACCAGAAGGCGAGAGGGGAUUCUACCCAGAGUCUUAGAGGGAGCAUGGCCUUGCUGACACCUUGGCUUUAGACUUCUGGCCUCCAGAACUACGAGAGAAUAAACUUCUAUGUUUUACGCCACCCAGUCUAUAGUGCUUUGUCACAGCAACCCUAGGAAACUAAUGCA